CAUCGACAAUUUAAAAUAGGUCCAUCGGAUUAGUGUGUUCGGUAUGCUUUUUGGAUGGCAAUCCAGAUUAUCUUAGCAAUCUAUAUUGCCUCCCAAGAGGUGAUCUAGAUAGCCUUGGAAAGAGGUGGGUAUCUGUUGGUGCAAAAAUCCGCUUGCAUCGGAAAAGCUGGAGUCAAGGGAGUCACGGUCGCCGUCGGGACCUGCAAAGGAAGUCUAAACCGGAGGUGGGGUUGCUCCGGCAAGAUCCUCCGACGCUCAAGUCAGUUCUCUGCCUCAACAAGAAUGGAGUGCUCGAACGAAGAAUUUAGCAGAGUUUUGAGAUGAAAAGUGAGAGCUUAUGGAAUAACGUAUCUGGGGUUUUUCUUUUAUAGACGGAGAGUGCAACAGAUUGAUAGUGACACCUGUAACCGUCUGGUGGUGGGCCGCCCAGAGUCAGGAGGAAUUUAUUGUGGAGAGUAAUGGAGUGGGGUCGUGGCUAUCGCCGUGGCUCGCCACGUGGGAUCAGUUACGGGGAGUGGAGCGGCGUCUGCUGUCGUGACUCAUCUGGGGGUGGUGGAAUCGCACAGGAUCCACCGCAGGGAGUGGAGCAGAAUUAUGGCCGUUAAUACGGUCUGUCAGGGAGUAAUGGAGCU
This 632-nucleotide long non-coding RNA is filed under the name Elaeis guineensis (African oil palm). Its description in RNAcentral is "long non-coding RNA (EGUI_LNC051741)". Lineage: Eukaryota; Viridiplantae; Streptophyta; Magnoliopsida; Arecales; Arecaceae. The record is from RNAcentral.